This 232-nucleotide non-coding RNA is filed under the name Trachymyrmex septentrionalis. RNAcentral's name for it is "Eukaryotic small subunit ribosomal RNA". It matches the Rfam family "Eukaryotic small subunit ribosomal RNA", at positions 1 to 227 of the family's 1831-position model. Lineage: Eukaryota; Metazoa; Arthropoda; Insecta; Hymenoptera; Formicidae. The record is from Rfam by way of RNAcentral.
UCCCUGGUUGAUCCUGCCAGUAGUCAUAUGCUUGUCUCAAAGAUUAAGCCAUGCAUGUCUCAGUGCAUGCCGAAUUAAGGUGAAACCGCGAAUGGCUCAUUAAAUCAGUUAUGGUUCAUUAGAUUGUACCCACAUUUACUUGGAUAACUGUGGUAAUUCUAGAGCUAAUACAUGCAAAACAGAGUCCCGACCAGUGAUGGAAGGGACGCUUUUAUUAGAUCAAAACCAAUCG